Molecule: ribosomal RNA, 831 nt
Filed under: uncultured bacterium
Lineage: Bacteria
Description: bacterial SSU rRNA
Rfam family: Bacterial small subunit ribosomal RNA
Source: RNAcentral
UACGGAGGGGGCGAGCGUUAAUCGGAAUUACUGGGCGCCUAGCGUGCGCAGGUGGUUUGUUAAGUCAGAUGUGAAAGCCCCGAGCUUAACUUGGGAACUGCGUUUGAAACUGGCAAGCUAGAGUCUGUCAGAGGGGGGUAGAAUUCCACGUGUAGCAGUGAAAUGCGUAGAGAUGUGGAGGAAUACCAAUGGCGAAGGGAGCCCCCUGGGAUAAGACUGACGCUCAUGCACGAUAGCGUGGGGAGCAUACAGGAUUAGAUACCCUGGUAGUCCACGCCCUAAACGAUGUCAACUGGUUGUUGGUCAACUUGAUUGUUCAGUAACGAAUUUAACGCGAGAAGUUGACCGCCUGGGGAGUACGGUCGCAAGAUUAAAACUCAAAGGAAUUGACGGGGACACGCACAAGCGGUGGAUGAUGUGGAUUAAUACGAUGCAACGCGAAAAACCUUACCUACCCUUGACAUGUACGGAAGUCUGCUGAGAGGUGGAUGUGCCUGAAAGGGAACCGUAACACAGGUGCUGCAUGGCUGUCGUCAGCUCGUGUCGUGAGAUGUUGGGUUAAGUCCCGCAACGAGCGCAACCCUUGCUAUUAAUUGCCAUCAUUAAGUUGGGCACUUUAAUAGGACGUGCUGGUGAUAAACCGGAGGAAGGUGGGGAUGACGUCAAGUCCUCAUGGCCCUUAUGGGUAGGGCUUCACACGUCAUACAAUGACCGGUACAGAGGGAUGCCAACCCGCGAGGGGGAGCCAAUCUCAGAAAGCCGGUCGUAGUCCGGAUUGUUCUCUGCAACUCGAGAGCAUGAAGUCGGUAUAAGGAGUAAUCGCGGAUCAGC